This 464-nucleotide ribosomal RNA is filed under the name uncultured bacterium. RNAcentral's name for it is "bacterial SSU rRNA". It matches the Rfam family "Bacterial small subunit ribosomal RNA", at positions 28 to 507 of the family's 1533-position model. The record is from RNAcentral.
GACGAACGCUGGCGGCGUGCCUAACACAUGCAAGUCGAACGGAGAUAUGAUUUCGGUUGUAUCUUAGUGGCGAACGGGUGAGUAACGCGUGAGCAACCUGACCUUCAGAGGGGGAUAACAUUUGGAAACAGAUGCUAAUACCGCAUAAGACCACGACCCGACAUCGGGAUGAGGUCAAAGGAGCAAUCCGCUGAAGGAGGGGCUCGCGUCCCAUUAGAUAGAUGGCGGGUAACGGCCCACCAUGUCGACGAUGGGUAGCCGAGCUGAGAGGCUGAUCGGCCACACUGGAACUGAGACACGGUCCAGACUCCUACGGGAGGCAGCAGUGGGGAAUAUUGGGCAAUGGGCGAAAGCCUGACCCAGCAACGCCGCGUGAGGGAAGAAGGCCUUCGGGUUGUAAACCUCUGUCCUUGGUGACGAAAAAAAUGACGGUAGCCAAGGAGGAAGCCCCGGCUAACUACGUG